RNAcentral lists this long non-coding RNA (3244 nucleotides) under Sus scrofa (pig). Its description in RNAcentral is "lncRNA (ENSSSCG00000056020.1)". The record is from RNAcentral. Lineage: Eukaryota; Metazoa; Chordata; Mammalia; Artiodactyla; Suidae.
AUGAGGUAGCAUUUCAGAGACCCAUAAAACUCAACACUGAAAUUGUUUUUAGAGCACACAAUGUAAAGGUAUUUUACUGCAUGCUCAGUGCUGUGCAGCUCCCGCCACUGUUUAAGUCCAGAACACUUUCAUUACCUGAAAAGGAAGCCCUGUACCCACUAAGGCAGUGCCCCCCGCCUCCCUUCCUUCUCACCCUUGACAGCCACCAAUCUGCACUCUGUCUCUAUGGCUCUGUCUGUUCUGGACAUUUUAUAACUGAAAUCAGUUAACAUUUGGCCUUUUGUGUCUAGCUUCUUUCACUAAACAUAAUCUAUCAAGGUUCAUCCAUGCCGUAGCAGGGGUCAAUACUUCAUUUCUCUUUAUGGCUGAAUAAUACUUUAUGCAGCUUUCAUGGUGGCUCAGCAGGUUCAGAACCCGACACAGUGUCCAUGAGGAUGUGGGUUCGAUCCCUGUCCUUGCUCAGUGGGUGAAGGAUCCAGUGUUGCCUUAAGCUGCAGUGUAGGUCUCAGACGUCGCUCGGAUCCCACCCGACUGUGGCUGUGGUGGAGGCCAGCAGCUGCAGCUCUGAUUCGACUCUUAGCCUGGGAACGUCCAUAUGCUGCAGGUGUGGCAGUAAAAAGAAAAAAAUUGAUUUUGGGGGGGCUAUACCACAUUCUAUUGGUGCACAUUUGGGUUGUUUCCACCUUUUGGCUGUUAUGAAUAAUGAUGCUGGGAAGAUUAACGACAAGAUUUAUCGGAACAUAUGUUUUCAGAUCUUUAUUGGGUCAUAUGGCUGCUCUGUGUUUAACUUUUUGAGGAAUCACGAUAGCGCUCUCUAUAGUGGCUGCCCGGUUCUACAACCUCGCCAAAAAAUGCCUAAGCGUUCCAACUUCUUGUUUUUGCCAACGUUUAUUUUAUUUUCCAUUUAAAAAAGUAUAGUGGGUCUAAGUGGUAUCUCAGUGUGGUUUUGAUUUGCAUUUCCCUAAGACUUAGGAUGUUAUAUAUCUUCAUGUACUGAUCGGCCAGUCGAGUGUCGUCUUUGGAGAAAUGUCAAUUCGUCGUCUUUGCCCCCUUUUAAAUUGAGUCAUUUGCCUUUUUGUUGUUGAAUUGUAAGAGUUUCUAUAUAUUCUGAGUAUUAGAUCCUUAUCAGAUACAUGAUUUGCCUUUAUAUUUAUUUGCAAUUUAUAUUUUCUCCCACUCUUUGUUGUUGUUGUUGUUUUUUUCCCUUCUUGGUAUUGCCCUGCAAUUCAUAAAAGUUUUUAGUUUUGAUUAAGUCCAAUUCGGCAGAAUAUAUUUUUGACAACAGGUGCCCUCCUCAUUCAUGAGAAGACUCAGAUUAAACAUAAGACAAAACAAAACUUUUAAAGGCUAAACCUUAAAGAGAAAACUCUUCUGUAAUGUGAGAGAGUGACUCUAUCAAAUGCAGAUUAUCAGAGAGUGUGUCAAGUUAUUGCUGGUGUACACGAAACGGAAACAGCUAUAGCUACAUUGACCUUUCCCUGCAAGAAGUCCUGACUUAUUCAGGACGUGCUGAAUGAGAUCUUUUAUCUCAAGAUGACAGUAGUUGUUUCUUUAAAAAUUAUCGUUAUCAAAUUCAUCUACCAAGAAAUUUCAAAUAGUCUCCUCUGUUUAAAUAGCAUUAAGGAUCUGCCUUAAACCAACAACAACCAGGAAGAUGAAAGAAAACAUUGACAGGGUGUUUCUAACCUAGCAGUUUCUAACUGCAGCCACACACAGGCUGUGCAGUCAGAGGCCAUGUUCAGAAAGUUCCUGGAGAAAGGUCUUGGAGUCAGUGAGAAGAGAAUCUAAAUUAUUUCAAAGCCAACAUUACUGAAAACUAGUAUUAAUAAAAGAGGACAAACCUAAGUGGACAUUCUUGAGUGUACAGGCUUUGUCUUUUGUUUCACAUUGGCAGUUUUUAGGUGAUUCACGUAUGGGCUAAAAGCCAUGGAACCGGGGUUUGAACCAGCUCUUCAUUUUAUUUAAUUAUGUGGUGACUGCGGAAGAAGACUUACGGUGAACACUCAUGUACACAUCCCUGCUUCUGUGCAUCACAAGCCUUGGACCAGAUUCUGACAUCUGCCAUUUUUUGGAAUAUCCUAUUGGGAAAACCACUAAGUUGCUGAGUGUCCACACGUGGAGUUCUUGCGUGACCCGCACACGUGGCUGUCAUCCUGCACAGCCCCGAAGGGUCCUGGGGGAGCUCAGUUUCCUCCUCUGCAGGUGACACCUUCAUCCCCCAGUUAUGGUAGGAAGGUGGAAUGAUACGUGUGAAAAUGGAAAGGCAUUUUGAAGGUUUAGCAUGUGUUUCUGUUGUUUAUGUAGCGUCUACAAUACACCAGGUAUUGUCCCGAGGCUUAAAAAGUGCUAAAAAAUUAAGUCCUCAAACAACCCUCUGGGGAGGUACUGUUAUUUCUCCCAUUUCAUAAGUGAGGAAAGUGAAGCACGGGGAUAUUCUCUAACUUGCCCAAGAUCAUUGAGCGUUUAAGGGGUAGAGUUAGAUUUUGAAGCCAGAUAGUCUGGCUCCAGAGUCUGUAUUCUUACGACUACAUCGUCUUACUUAUAUUUAAAAUCUUGAGAUUUCGGUUGGAAAUUGGAGCCUGUGUAUUCAUUGAUUCCAUCAAUAUUUAUUGAGUAUCUAUUAUUUGCCAGACUUCUCUUGAAACACUGGAAGGUCCAGGGAUGCUGGGGCUGCGGUACUGCUGUCUCAUGGCAACAUUCGGCAGGAGUCCAGCCGUUGCUGCCAUUUUUGAUGGGGUCACCUGACUUGGCUUGAUUCAUUCACCUGUUUGCCUGUCCACAUUCUGUAAUCAAUCACAUUUGUUACUGUUAACAGGAGAGCUAGGCAAGGAAAAUAGAUCACAACCAAAGUAGUAAGCCGGAAGGUGAAAAUAAACAUAGAAAAUAAACAUUAUGGCUUGAAUUGAGUUUUGCAGACUUUUCUUGCUGCUGUCCUUAAGCACAGAUCUAUGAACCAGAGAAAUUUUGGUGGGUACCAACUGAGUGCUUGACCUGUCGAACAAACACUUUAAAGAUUUGGAAGGUGAAAAUCAGAAGGGAUUAAUAGAUGCAAACUAUUGCAUUUGGAGGGAUAAGCAUGAGAUCCUGCUGCAUAGCACAGGAAACUAUAUCCAGUCAUUUAUGAUGGAACAUGAUGGAGGAUAAUGUGAGAAAAAGAAUGUAUACGUGUGUGUGUGUGUGAGAGAGAGAGAGAGAGAGACUGGGUCACUUUGCUGUCCAGUAGAAAGUGACAGAACAUUGUAAA